CGGGAAUCUUGGACAAUGGGGGCAACCCUGAUCCAGCAAUGCCGCGUGUGGGAUGAAGGCCUUCGGGUUGUAAACCACUUUUGGCGGGGGCGAAAUAUCGAGUGCUAAUACCAUUCGGUGAUGACGGUACCCGCAGAAUAAGCACCGGCUAACUACGUGCCAGCAGCCGCGGUAAUACGUAGGGUGCAAAGCGUUAAUCGGAAUUACUGGGCGUAAAGCGUGCGCAGGCGGUUAGGUAAGACAGUGUGAAAUUCCCGGGCUCAACCUGGGAACUGCAUUUGUGACUGCCUGACUAGAGUGCGGCAGAGGGGAGUGGAAUUCCGCGUGUAGCAGUGAAAUGCGUAGAUAUGCGGAGGAACACCGAUGGCGAAGGCAACUCCCUGGGCCUGCACU
RNAcentral lists this ribosomal RNA (393 nucleotides) under uncultured bacterium. Its description in RNAcentral is "partial 16S ribosomal RNA". It matches the Rfam family "Bacterial small subunit ribosomal RNA", at positions 356 to 741 of the family's 1533-position model. The record is from RNAcentral.